This 460-nucleotide ribosomal RNA is filed under the name uncultured bacterium. RNAcentral's name for it is "partial 16S ribosomal RNA". It matches the Rfam family "Bacterial small subunit ribosomal RNA", at positions 338 to 795 of the family's 1533-position model. The record is from RNAcentral.
CCUACGGGAGGCUGCAGUGAGGAAUAUUGGUCAAUGGGCGGAAGCCUGAACCAGCCAAGUAGCGUGAAGGAUGACGGCCCUACGGGUUGUAAACUGCUUUUAUACGGGAAUAACGCGCCUUACGUGUAGGGCUUUGCAUGUACCGUAUGAAUAAGGACCGGCUAACUCAGUGCCAGCAGCCGCGGUAAUACGGAAGGUCCGGGCGUUAUCCGGAUUUAGUGGGUUUAAAGGGAGCGUAGGCCGCAUGUCAAGCGUGCUGUGAAAUGUCCGGGCUCAACCCGGGUCGUGCAGCGGAAACUGGCGUGCUUGAGUGCGCGGAAGGCAGGCGGAAUUCGUCGUGUAGCGGUGAAAUGCUUAGAUAUGACGAAGAACCCCGAUUGCGAAGGCAGCUUGCUGCAGCGGAACUGACGCUGAUGCUCGAAAGCGCGGGUAUCGAACAGGAUUAGAUACCCCUGUAGUC